UAUAACCUUCCGUAGGUGAACCUGCGGAAGGAUCAUUAAAUAAUCAAUAAUUUUGGCUUGUCCAUUAUUAUCUAUUUCUUCCGUAGGGUGAACAUGCGGAGGGAUCAUUACCGAGUUAUACAACUCAUCAACCCUGUGAACAUACCUAAAACGUUGUUUUGGCGGGAACAGACGGCCCUGUAACAACGGGCCGCCCCCGCCAGAGGACCCCUAACUCUGUUUUUAUAAUGUUUUUCUGAGUAAACAAGCAAAUAAAUUAAAACUUUCAACAACGGAUCUCUUGGUUCUGGCAUCGAUGAAGAACGCAGCGAAAUGCGAUAAGUAAUGUGAAUUGCAGAAUUCAGUGAAUCAUCGAAUCUUUGAACGCACAUUGCGCCCGCCAGUAUUCUGGCGGGCAUGCCUGUUCGAGCGUCAUUACAACCCUCAGGCCCCCGGGCCUGGCGUUGGGGAUCGGCGGAAGCCCCCUGUGGGCACACGCCGUCCCUCAAAUACAGUGGCGGUCCCGCCGCAGCUUCCAUUGCGUAGUAGCUAACACCUCGCAACUGGAGAGCGGCGCGGCCAUGCCGUAAAACACCCAACUUCUGAAUGUGACCUCGAAUCAGGUAGAAAACCCACUCCC
This 619-nucleotide ribosomal RNA is filed under the name Fusarium solani. RNAcentral's name for it is "eukaryotic LSU rRNA". The stretch from base 261 to 414 matches the Rfam family "5.8S ribosomal RNA". The record is from RNAcentral. Lineage: Eukaryota; Fungi; Ascomycota; Sordariomycetes; Hypocreales; Nectriaceae.